AGUUGUAAGGGUGGUCUGACUGUGACAUUUGUCACCCUAUUGACAGCCGAGGUUAAUUCAGCUGAUUUGGCAGGCUAGGCAGGUGUCCCCUUCCUCCCUCAAUGCUCCAUGUGCCUCCCUCCUGAAGCUGCACACUCUGUCAAAGAGGACAGCCUUCCCUGAAUAGAGACAGACCGGUCUUCAGUUGAGGGUAUACGAAUAGCAGUGCUUGCCUAGUAGAACCUCCAAACAAGCUCUCAAGGUUCAUUUGUAGGAGAACAUAGGGUAGUCAAGCUUCCAAGACUCCAGACACAUUCAAAUGAGGCACUGCAUGUGGCAGUCUACCUUUCUUU
Molecule: unclassified non-coding RNA, 332 nt
Organism: Erinaceus europaeus (western European hedgehog)
Lineage: Eukaryota; Metazoa; Chordata; Mammalia; Eulipotyphla; Erinaceidae
Gene: 7SK
Rfam family: 7SK RNA
About the family: 7SK was discovered as an abundant small nuclear RNA in the mid-70s but a possible function has only recently been suggested. Two independent studies have found that 7SK RNA binds the CDK9/cyclin T complex (known as elongation factor P-TEFb).
Source: Ensembl